AUCUGGAGAGCCAUUGUCUCCUCCCACCACCACCACCUUCCAGGACUUUGUUCUACAGACAACAGAAACUGACUGACCAGAUUCUUCUGCACCUUCACCUGUUGCUUUUAGAGAACCGGGAAUUCUCAACUUUGACAUUAUUGGUGUUUGGAGCCAGAAGAAGCUACAUAAUUUACAGAGCCUGGUGCAAAAUGAAAAUGUGAAGUCCUUUGUUCAAAAUGCAGGAUAAAUGAGACAUUAAAGGU
This 245-nucleotide long non-coding RNA is filed under the name Mustela putorius furo (domestic ferret). RNAcentral describes it as "lncRNA (ENSMPUG00000027604.1)". The record is from RNAcentral. Lineage: Eukaryota; Metazoa; Chordata; Mammalia; Carnivora; Mustelidae.